RNAcentral lists this ribosomal RNA (460 nucleotides) under uncultured bacterium. RNAcentral's name for it is "partial 16S ribosomal RNA". It matches the Rfam family "Bacterial small subunit ribosomal RNA", at positions 338 to 795 of the family's 1533-position model. The record is from RNAcentral.
CCUACGGGUGGCUGCAGUGAGGAAUAUUGGUCAAUGGGCGCAAGCCUGAACCAGCCACGUCGCGUGGGGGAAGACGGCCCUACGGGUUGUAACCCCCUUUUGCAGGGGAGCAAGCCUCAGCACGUGUGCCCCGGCGGACAGUACCCGGCGAAAAAGCAUCGGCUAACUCGGUGCCAGCAGCCGCGGUAAUACGGGGGACGCGGCCGUUCUCCGGCUUUAUUGGGUUAAAAGGGUGGGCGGGGGGGCUGUUAAGCCGGCGGUAAAAAUUCAGGUCUAAACCCGGUCGAGCCGUCGGAACUGGCAGUCUGGAGUGGGCGAGAAGUAGGCGGAAUGCGUGGUGUAGCGGUGAAAUGCAUAGAUAUCACGCAGAACGCCGAUUGCGAAGGCAGCAUACCGGCGCACAACUGACGCUGAGGCACGAAAGCGUGGGGAUCGAACAGGAUUAGAUACCCGAGUAGUC